GACGAACGCUGGCGGCGUGCUUAACACAUGCAAGUCGAACGAUGAAGCUGGAGCUUGCUCCGGUGGAUUAGUGGCGAACGGGUGAGUAACACGUGAGUAAUCUGCCCUUGACUCUGGGAUAACUGCGGGAAACUGUAGCUAAUACCGGAUACGACACCUUCGGGCAUCCGAUGGGUGUGGAAAGAAUUUCGGUCAAGGAUGAACUCGCGGCCUAUCAGCUAGUUGGUGAGGGAAUGGCUCACCAAGGCGACGACGGGUAGCCGGCCUGGGAGGGUGACCGGCCACACUGGGACUGAGACACGGCCCAGACUCCUACGGGAGGCAGCAGUGGGGAAUAUUGCACAAUGGGCGAAAGCCUGAUGCAGCAACGCCGCGUGAGGGAUGAAGGCCUUCGGGUUGUAAACCUCUUUUAGUUGGGAAGAAGCGAAAGUGACGGUACCAACAGAAAAAGCACCGGCUAACUACGUGCCAGCCGCCGCCGUAA
This 484-nucleotide ribosomal RNA is filed under the name uncultured bacterium. Its description in RNAcentral is "partial 16S ribosomal RNA". It matches the Rfam family "Bacterial small subunit ribosomal RNA", at positions 28 to 523 of the family's 1533-position model. The record is from RNAcentral.